UACGAAGGGGGCUAGCGUUGCUCGGAAUCACUGGGCUUAAAGGGCGCGUAGGCGGGUGCUCAAGUCCGGGGUGAAAUCCUCCAGCUCAACUGGAGAACUGCCUCGGAUACUGGGUGUCUCGAGGGUGGUAGGGGUAUGCGGAACUAUCGGUGGAGCGGUGAAAUGCGUUGAUAUCGAUAGGAACUCCGGUGGCGAAGGCGGCAUACUGGACCACAUCUGACGCUGAGGCGCGAAAGCCAGGGGAGCAAACGGG
RNAcentral lists this ribosomal RNA (253 nucleotides) under uncultured bacterium. RNAcentral's name for it is "partial 16S ribosomal RNA". It matches the Rfam family "Bacterial small subunit ribosomal RNA", at positions 524 to 776 of the family's 1533-position model. The record is from RNAcentral.